AAGCCAUUACCUGGGGAAAAUUUGUCUUGAAAACAAAUUAUAAGUGUUCGAAUCGCUUGAUGGCUUC
Molecule: transfer RNA, 67 nt
Filed under: Dracogyra subfuscus
Lineage: Eukaryota; Metazoa; Mollusca; Gastropoda; Neomphalida; Peltospiridae
Description: tRNA-Ser
Rfam family: tRNA
About the family: Transfer RNA (tRNA) molecules are approximately 80 nucleotides in length.
Source: RNAcentral